Molecule: unclassified non-coding RNA, 323 nt
Filed under: Hevea brasiliensis (rubber tree)
Lineage: Eukaryota; Viridiplantae; Streptophyta; Magnoliopsida; Malpighiales; Euphorbiaceae
Source: RNAcentral
UAUCCACAAUACUACUUACAAAACGACGCAGCAUCUACGUUUAAUAAACGAGGCUCGUUGCAGCUGGAAGCUUUCAUGACAGGAACCAAUAUUCGCAUGUGACAAUAUUAAACCCGAUCCAUUGGUGCAGGCACAGACGAAGAGUCCGUUGAUGCAGGAACAGAUGGUGUAGCUGAUGCCAUGGCAAACUGUACACCUGUUGGCUGCCCAGAUUGUACCACAAAUGCAAAUUGUGCUGUUGCUAAUGCUGCAGCUUCCUCUCUUUGCCUGCGCUGCUGCAAAAUGCUGAUGGCCCAGACCAUGAUGUAGCAAGGUAAAAGAAA